This 254-nucleotide ribosomal RNA is filed under the name uncultured bacterium. RNAcentral describes it as "partial 16S ribosomal RNA". It matches the Rfam family "Bacterial small subunit ribosomal RNA", at positions 524 to 776 of the family's 1533-position model. The record is from RNAcentral.
UACGUAGGCAGCGAGCGUUGUUCGGAAUUACUGGGCGUAAAGAGUGUGUAGGCGGUGCUCUAAGUUCGGUGUGAAAUCUCCUGGCUCAACUGGGAGGGUGCGCCGGAAACUGGAGUGCUUGAGCGUGGGAGAGGAAAGCGGAAUUCCUGGUGUAGCGGUGAAAUGACGUAGAUAUCUGGAGGAACACCGGUGGCGAAGGCGGCAUCCUGGACCGACACUGACGCUGAGGAGCGAAAGCCAGGGGAGCAAACGGG